This 460-nucleotide ribosomal RNA is filed under the name uncultured bacterium. RNAcentral describes it as "partial 16S ribosomal RNA". It matches the Rfam family "Bacterial small subunit ribosomal RNA", at positions 338 to 795 of the family's 1533-position model. The record is from RNAcentral.
CCUACGGGUGGCAGCAGUGAGGAAUAUUGGUCAAUGGACGAGAGUCUGAACCAGCCAAGUAGCGUGAAGGAUGACUGCCCUAUGGGUUGUAAACUUCUUUUAUCUGGGAAUAAAAUGUUCCACGUGUGGGAUUUUGUAUGUACCAUAUGAAUAAGGAUCGGCUAACUCCGUGCCAGCAGCCGCGGUAAUACGGAGGAUCCGAGCGUUAUCCGGAUUUAUUGGGUUUAAAGGGAGCGUAGGUGGAUUGUUAAGUCAGUUGUGAAAGUUUGCGGCUCAACCGUAAAAUUGCAGUUGAAACUGGCAGUCUUGAGUACAGUAGAGGUGGGCGGAAUUCGUGGUGUAGCGGUGAAAGGCUUAGAUAUCACGAAGAACUCCGAUUGCGAAGGCAGCUCACUGGACUGCAACUGACACUGAGGCUCGAAAGUGUGGGUAUCAAACAGGAUUAGAUACCCCAGUAGUC